RNAcentral lists this ribosomal RNA (405 nucleotides) under uncultured Propionibacterium sp. Its description in RNAcentral is "bacterial SSU rRNA". It matches the Rfam family "Bacterial small subunit ribosomal RNA", at positions 336 to 754 of the family's 1533-position model. The record is from RNAcentral. Lineage: Bacteria; Bacillati; Actinomycetota; Actinomycetes; Propionibacteriales; Propionibacteriaceae.
UUCCUACGGGAGGCAGCAGUGGGGAAUAUUGCACAAUGGGCGGAAGCCUGAUGCAGCAACGCCGCGUGCGGGAUGACGGCCUUCGGGUUGUAAACCGCUUUCGCCUGUGACGAAGCGUGAGUGACGGUAAUGGGUAAAGAAGCCCCGGCUAACUACGUGCCAGCAGCCGCGGUGAUACGUAGGGUGCGAGCGUUGUCCGGAUUUAUUGGGCGUAAAGGGCUCGUAGGUGGUUGAUCGCGUCGGAAGUGUAAUCUUGGGGCUUAACCCUGAGCGUGCUUUCGAUACGGGUUGACUUGAGGAAGGUAGGGGAGAAUGGAAUUCCUGGUGGAGCGGUGGAAUGCGCAGAUAUCAGGAGGAACACCAGUGGCGAAGGCGGUUCUCUGGGCCUUUCCUGACGCUGAGAGC